Pipra filicauda (Wire-tailed manakin) is the source of this 1087-nucleotide long non-coding RNA. RefSeq lists it as uncharacterized. The transcript has 8 exons. The record is from RefSeq and is a predicted model, not a curated record. NCBI's taxonomy places the organism in Eukaryota, Metazoa, Chordata, Aves, Passeriformes, Pipridae.
CGGGGGCUGCGGCUCAAGGAAGCGCCGCUGCCUUGUGGCGUCCGCGACCCCCCGACCCCCGAUCCCUCUCGGCAGCGCUCAGAGGCCCGCGCCCCGCAGGCUGCCUGCGAAGGGAGCACGGAGUGAAGCUCUCCGAGAAUAAGGCAAGGAUGAUAACUUCUGUGCAGUUUGGAGUAAUAGGACAGGAUUGGAAUGCACCUUGAACCGUGUAUGACUACAUGUCUGAUAGUACAUUCAAAGUAUACCUUCAGUAAAGAAAACAAGAGCCCAGGUUAAAACAAGUAGUAGAACUCAACUCUUCAAACAGUACAAAGCUACAAGCAAAAGUAAAAUAUUACUUCAUCACAGUAACAAUGCCAAGUACUUCUCUUCAUAAGGACUGUCUCAGUAGCACACGAAUCCAGACAACACAAUCAGCACAAAGGAGACAGUGAAGCUGGGCUGUGUUCCAGAGCAUCUACCCACCUUUUUCAUAUUCCCACCGAGCAGUGAGUAAGGAGGUUUGUUGACAUGGUUCCAGUCAACCGGCACACGAGUCAUAUCAUACAAUUGGAAGAUGAUUAAAGCAUCAGAAAGGUCACUAAACCAGAGGAAAACAACGUUUUAAAGCACAAAAGCUCAUACUGGUAAUGAAACAAAGAAGCACACUUAAGAAAAUAUUUUGCCUGAAUAUGUGAGCUUGGAAUAACCUCAUCACUUCAUUCCUACAGUUAAGAAAACAGAGAGGACACUGAGGAGGGAGAAAACCUCCCCAAACAAUGAAAGAACAGAUUUCUCUGGACUGAAGCACAAAUACCUAAGAGCAUAUCUUCUGCUGAGUGGUGCAGCAGAUAGCCAAAAUCAUUGGAAAACUGCAGAAAGGGGGCAGAGCUACACAAAAGAGAGAGGAGCAAAUUUGGUACUCUGUUGGGAACAAUUUGUGCUGCCACCUUCACUUACACUUGGCUCCCAAGACCACAUGGCAAGAAUGUUCAGCAUAAAGAAGAAAGUGCUUUUCAGUGAACAGGAGCAGGACAGACAAUUCUUACAGCAGAAGUGUGAAAACACACAGGCAGGAAAUGGAGAAAAAGAAGGAAUGCAGAUGGUG